RNAcentral lists this long non-coding RNA (244 nucleotides) under Elaeis guineensis (African oil palm). RNAcentral describes it as "long non-coding RNA (EGUI_LNC015322)". Lineage: Eukaryota; Viridiplantae; Streptophyta; Magnoliopsida; Arecales; Arecaceae. The record is from RNAcentral.
CACCCAUACCUGCUCCACAAUUAAAAUCUCUAUACUCAUAUCUGUCUCGAGUUGAGAAAGGAACUCAUCAUGUACAUAUUGUAAAAUAAUUAUCAUUUUGAAAGAAGGAUUUAGAUUAAGGUUGCGUUGGGUUGCGGAGCAUAUUAUUAUCCAUAUAUGACUAAAAUCUAUUUUGAAUAUUUUUUCUAAAAUUUAUAUCUGUUCCAGAUUUAAAUUGGAUCAGAUAAAAUCUAUUUUAUUCAGA